GGCUUGUUGGUCUAGUGGCAUGAUUCUCGCUUUGGGUGUGAGAGGUCCCGGGUUCAAUUCCGGACAGGCCC
RNAcentral lists this transfer RNA (71 nucleotides) under Acanthaster planci (crown-of-thorns starfish). RNAcentral describes it as "tRNA-Pro". It matches the Rfam family "tRNA". Rfam says of the family: Transfer RNA (tRNA) molecules are approximately 80 nucleotides in length. Their secondary structure includes four short double-helical elements and three loops (D, anti-codon, and T loops). Further hydrogen bonds mediate the characteristic L-shaped molecular structure. tRNAs have two regions of fundamental functional importance: the anti-codon, which is responsible for specific mRNA codon recognition, and the 3' end, to which the tRNAs corresponding amino acid is attached (by aminoacyl-tRNA synthetases). tRNAs cope with the degeneracy of the genetic code in two manners: having more than one tRNA (with a specific anti-codon) for a particular amino acid; and 'wobble' base-pairing, i.e. permitting non-standard base-pairing at the 3rd anti-codon position. The record is from Rfam by way of RNAcentral. Lineage: Eukaryota; Metazoa; Echinodermata; Asteroidea; Valvatida; Acanthasteridae.